UUUCAAGGAACUCAGGCUAAGAUCGCCGCGUCCUGCGGCAAUGCCUGAGUGACCAACAUCCUGUUGG
Molecule: small RNA, 67 nt
Filed under: Psychrobacillus sp. OK032
Lineage: Bacteria; Bacillati; Bacillota; Bacilli; Caryophanales; Bacillaceae
Description: Bacillaceae-1 RNA
Rfam family: Bacillaceae-1 RNA
Source: RNAcentral